RNAcentral lists this long non-coding RNA (1521 nucleotides) under Homo sapiens (human). RNAcentral's name for it is "HSALNT0397691". The record is from RNAcentral. Lineage: Eukaryota; Metazoa; Chordata; Mammalia; Primates; Hominidae.
UCACAGUGAAAGCCACCGUUGCCCGGGGAUGGGUCCCUGACACUUGGGGAAGUAGGAGCCCUGUGUGAUCGUACGUCUGAGUCUGGGCUGAGACCAGUCCUGGCCAGGGCAGUUACCAGGACGGUCUCCGGAGGCCGGGAUUCGCGGAGGGUCCAGCAGCAGGAAGAAACCCCAGGAGGAAGAAACCUCAGACAGAUCGCCGGCGAGGCAGCGCGGGAUCCCAGCCUCAGGCGUGCGCGGACGGUGUGCGGCGCACACAACCAAGCUUAGGAGCCGACUGUUAAGAUGCCCCAGUGACACGGACAAGUUUCUCCUCUGCAACCCAAUGAGAGCUGCUGACCACGAGAGCAUCGCGGGACCGCCAAAGGAUUCUGGAAAAUGUGGUCCCGGGUGGCCAGUGUGCGCUGACCUUCACCUGAAGGUACGGCUUGAAGGAAACUUCUGGAGGGUGGGGUGGUGUUGAAGAGAAGGCACAAUUGUCACCAUUUUGUUCAACAUGGGCGUUUUCUUUGUGCAUUGAUUUGCAUUUUUAAAGGAACUCCUCCUCAAAACAGAAGAAGCCUAUAGGAUUUUAACCUGGAAACUACUCAGGGAAUCUGGAAUAUUCCUUCCAGGGAUAUCUGCAGCUGAAACCUGGCAGUAAUUUAAACAAAACCAGACAACUCUUGGGGUAUGGUUGGAGCCUGAGGUCUACAGAUGGGUCAUUUUAUAUGCUGAGGUCUCCUCACUGUGGCGGGAUCCAGGCGCAGCUCUAGACCAAGAAAUGGGAGGAUUUUAGAGUGACUGAUGAUUUCUCUAUCAUCUGCAGUUAGUAAACAUUCUCCACAGUUUAUGCAAAAAGUAACAAAACCACUGCAGAUGACAAACACUAGGUAACACACAUACUAUCUCCCAAAUACCUACCCACAAGCUCAACAAUUUUAAACUGUUAGGAUCACUGGCUCUAAUCACCAUGACAUGAGGUCACCACCAAACCAUCAAGCGCUAAACAGACAGAAUGUUUCCACUCCUGAUCCACUGUGUGGAGAAGCACAGAGCUUACCCACUGGGGCCCUGCAUCAGAAGAGAUGCACAUGCACCGGGGUGUGCAUUUGAACGGAGCGAUCAAACCACCAUCCCCACAGCUCCUCUGUUCAUGGGCACUGCAGUCUGUGGCCUCAUGUCCUUUGGGGGACACAGUGGGAAGGUAACCCACAUUUCAGUGACACCAUCAAGAAAAACACACUGUGGCAAUUUGCCCUGAUUUCUCAUGGGCCUUUUCUCUUUUCCCUUUGGGUUGUAUAGACUUCCCUACUGUCCACCUGACCACUCUCAUGCUGCCCAAAACCAUAGCUUAAGUCAUCAGCUAGGCGUUUCUUGGUGUAACUAUCGAAAGGUGAGCCUUACCUGUUCAAUCUCUAGCGAGAUUUGUUCAAAAUCUGGACCUAGAAGAAUAAAUAAACAAGAUUUGCCUGAGUAGGUUUGGCUUUUUCCUUCUUGGGGAAAGCCCUUAAGAAAUAUCAGCCCCUUGGCCAGGCACCC